RNAcentral lists this ribosomal RNA (304 nucleotides) under uncultured bacterium. Its description in RNAcentral is "partial 16S ribosomal RNA". It matches the Rfam family "Bacterial small subunit ribosomal RNA", at positions 506 to 807 of the family's 1533-position model. The record is from RNAcentral.
CAGCAGUAGCCGCGGUAAUACAGAGGGUGCGAGCGUUAAUCGGAUUUACUGGGCGUAAAGCGUGCGUAGGCGGCUUCUUAAGUCGGAUGUGAAAUCCCUGAGCUUAACUUAGGAAUUGCAUUCGAUACUGGGAAGCUAGAGUAUGGGAGAGGAUGGUAGAAUUCCAGGUGUAGCGGUGAAAUGCGUAGAGAUCUGGAGGAAUACCGAUGGCGAAGGCAGCCAUCUGGCCUAAUACUGACGCUGAGGUACGAAAGCAUGGGGAGCAAACAGGAUUAGAGACCCCAGUAGUCCCUGUCUCUUAUAC